Leptonychotes weddellii (Weddell seal) is the source of this 662-nucleotide long non-coding RNA. RefSeq lists it as uncharacterized. NCBI's taxonomy places the organism in Eukaryota, Metazoa, Chordata, Mammalia, Carnivora, Phocidae. The record is from RefSeq and is a predicted model, not a curated record.
CUCAGUUUAGGGAACUCUUCUAGUUUAGGCAACUCGGUGGCCAUGCUGGCCUGUCUCCAUCCCUUUUACCCUGCCCCAGAAAUACAGAAGUUCCCGCCGAAAAGCGGUUUCGUUAUCCGAGGUUUCAAUUACCUGUGGUCAACGCGUGUCUGAAGGAAGAUGACUCUCCACAGGACGAAUCGUCAGAGGGUUAGUAGCAGCCGAACGCUACGUCACAACGCCUGCGUCAUUCCCCUCACGUCAUCCCGUCACGCAGGCGUUUUAUCGUCUUGCAUCAGCACAAGGGUGGGUACAGCCCCAUGAAACAUUUUCAGAGAGCCCGCAUUCAGCUGAGCUUAGUGACGUUUCGAGCCUCAGUCCACAGGGAGGACCCUGGAUAUUCUGGAUGCUCUGAAUUGAAUAGCCCCUUUCUUACUCUCCUCUCCUGCAUUUUUAGUGAAGAAGAAAUUGAUAUCCAGAGAAGUUAUGUGACCACAAAACAGAAGAACUUGAAAUUAAGUCUCUCAAAUUCCUACAUCACACUUGGAUGAUAUGUAGGAGAAAAUAAUCAGAUGCAUAUUCAUUCUCUGACCUCUGCAGGUAUGGGUUAUGUGGGGAAACAAAAACUGUUAUUAAGUGUUCCCUAAUGAACUGGUAGUAGAGUUUGCAAUAUUGGUCUGAAA